GACGAACGCUGGCGGCGUGCUUAACACAUGCAAGUCGAACGGAAAGGCCUCUUUCGGGGGGUACUCGAGUGGCGAACGGGUGAAUAACACGUGAGUAACCUGCCCUUGACUUUGGGAUAACUUCAGGAAACUGGGGCUAAUACCGGAUAGGAGCUCCUGCUGCAUGGUGGGGGUUGGAAAGUUUCGGCGGUUGGGGAUGGACUCGCGGCUUAUCAGCUUGUUGGUGGGGUAGUGGCUUACCAAGGCUUUGACGGGUAGCCGGCCUGAGAGGGUGACCGGCCACAUUGGGACUGAGAUACGGCCCAGACUCCUACGGGAGGCAGCAGUGGGGAAUAUUGCACUAUGGGUGGAAGCCUGAUGCAGCAACGCCGUGUGCGGGAUGACGGCCUUCGGGUUGUAAACCGCUUUCGCUCAUGACGAAGCUUUGUGUGACGGUAGUGGGUAAAGAAGCACCGGCUAACUACGUG
Molecule: ribosomal RNA, 467 nt
Filed under: uncultured bacterium
Lineage: Bacteria
Description: partial 16S ribosomal RNA
Rfam family: Bacterial small subunit ribosomal RNA
Source: RNAcentral